UGUUCCCAUUCCGAACACAGAAGUUAAGCUCUCUAGCGCUGAUGGUACUUGGUGGGAAACUGCCUGGGAGAGUAGGACGUAGCCACGU
This 88-nucleotide ribosomal RNA is filed under the name Clostridioides difficile. RNAcentral also lists the same sequence under 1 other name. Lineage: Bacteria; Bacillati; Bacillota; Clostridia; Peptostreptococcales; Peptostreptococcaceae. The record is from RNAcentral.